UGAGGAAUAUUGCGCAAUGGGGGAAACCCUGACGCAGCAACGCCGCGUGGGUGAAGAAGGCUUUCGGGUUGUAAAGCCCUGUCAGGUGGGAAGAACCUUCUGCAGGUGAAUAGUCUGCGGAACUGACGGUACCACCAAAGGAAGCACCGGCUAACUCCGUGCCAGCAGCCGCGGUAAGACGGAGGGUGCAAGCGUUGUUCGGAAUCACUGGGCGUAAAGCGCGUGUAGGCGGUCCGAUAAGUCGAAUGUGAAAGCCCGAGGCUCAACCUCGGAAGUGCAUUCGAAACUGUCGGGCUUGAGUACGGGAGAGGGAAGUGGAAUUCCUGGUGUAGAGGUGAAAUUCGUAGAUAUCAGGAGGAACACCGGUGGCGAAGGCGGCUUCCUGGACCGAUACUGACGCUGAGACGCGAAAGCGUGGGGAGCAAACAGG
RNAcentral lists this ribosomal RNA (430 nucleotides) under uncultured Desulfomonile sp. RNAcentral's name for it is "bacterial SSU rRNA". It matches the Rfam family "Bacterial small subunit ribosomal RNA", at positions 355 to 776 of the family's 1533-position model. The record is from RNAcentral. Lineage: Bacteria; Pseudomonadati; Thermodesulfobacteriota; Desulfomonilia; Desulfomonilales; Desulfomonilaceae.